Molecule: ribosomal RNA, 222 nt
Filed under: Triticum aestivum (bread wheat)
Lineage: Eukaryota; Viridiplantae; Streptophyta; Magnoliopsida; Poales; Poaceae
Description: partial small subunit ribosomal RNA
Source: RNAcentral
AUGAAUAUCCUAAGCUGGAACUGCCGGGGGGGGUGGGAACCCUCGGACAGUUCUGAUCUUGUGAGUCUUGUAUAGACUCACUCCCCUAGCAUUGUUUUCCUUUGUGAAACUAGAUAGUCGACAAAUAAAAUGAAGAGGUACCGCUCUCGGUUAGGAUUAAGUGGUUUUGAGGCGCUAGAUAGUGAUGGUCUCAGUGGUGGGUUGGCUUUGUAUUGGCAUGAG